Long non-coding RNA from Panicum virgatum (switchgrass), 996 nucleotides. RefSeq lists it as uncharacterized. The record is from RefSeq and is a predicted model, not a curated record. Lineage: Eukaryota; Viridiplantae; Streptophyta; Magnoliopsida; Poales; Poaceae. The transcript has 3 exons.
CAUCGCGCCGCCACCGCCGCCCGCCGCGCUACCGGCGCUCCGCCACGCCGCCGCCGCCGCGCUGCCGUGCAGUUUGGAGGCGCCGCGCCGCCUCUUGUUCGAAGGCGAGGAGGAAGAAGGAUUUCGAGAGGAGCUGCCUCAUGACGCGUCCAUGGUGGCCUUAAUGGACUCGAAGAGCCGCGCCUGCUGCGAUGGAAUGCCGUAGUCCGAUAGUCACUCGUAAGUUUGUUGCGAUUUUGAUCCUGUUGCUUCCUCCCCUUCGUGAUCCAGUUUACAGCUCUUCUGCUCCGAGCCUCCGGGCGACAGGGAUUACAGCUAGGGCGUCAUGUCGCCGGAAGAGGGGAAGCAGCCAAGUAAGGGCAGAUCGCAGUGUUCUCCUCCUCCCCGGACGCCGGACGCCCCUAGCUCCACGGGUCCUUCGGCGGCGGCGCCCAGGCAAAGUGAUCGUCAGAGCCUGCAUCAAGAGGAAGAGUCCCUGUGAUCGUCAGAACCUGCAUUAGCAGUAGGUAGCACGAGGUUGCAUUCCAACUGGAGCAUAGAAGAUGACAAAUGCAAGUUUAGUUGGCAGCAAAGGAACUGAAGAUAACAAAGGCAUUGCCUUCCUCAACCGCUAAACUGCCUUGCUGCUGUCAGUUAGAGUAAUACGACUUCUCUCCAAUCGCAUUAUCCCGUCAGCUGGUUCUAUUGUAGGUCGGAAACACAAAGGCCUGGUUUGUCAACUUGUGUCCGCUUCAUUUGCAGAACCUCAUUGGGUCAUUGUCAACACCUAGUCCAACAAGAAAAAAGAAAUUCAUCUAUCUGUUGCUGAAACAUACAUGUGUAUAUAUGAUUGAACCCAGCAGGAUACUAGUUUGCAUCUUUUUUCCCCUUUCCUGGCAAUACAAAUUUAUGUUUGCCAACAGGACUAAUUACAUGGAUUGUACAUCAUUGUGCACGAAUGCCACACAAUCUGAUCUUUCCUGAGAAGGAACUGGAUUAAGAAUUGGUUUCGACUUU